UAUGUACCUAUAUCCAAUAUUAGGAUAGUGAACCAGGUCAGGUCGUGACUGAAGCAGCCUUAAGCUAAACUAGUAUGUGGGUAUAGGUACAUAAGG
This 96-nucleotide signal recognition particle RNA is filed under the name Acholeplasmataceae bacterium. RNAcentral's name for it is "signal recognition particle sRNA small type". It matches the Rfam family "Bacterial small signal recognition particle RNA". From Rfam's summary of the family: The signal recognition particle (SRP) is a universally conserved ribonucleoprotein involved in the co-translational targeting of proteins to membranes. Archaeal SRP consists of a 7S RNA and homologues of the eukaryotic SRP19 and SRP54 proteins. Lineage: Bacteria; Bacillati; Mycoplasmatota; Mollicutes; Acholeplasmatales; Acholeplasmataceae. The record is from RNAcentral.